GAUGAACGCUGGCGGCGUGCCUAAUACAUGCAAGUCGAGCGAACAGACGAGAAGCUUGCUUCUCUGAUGUUAGCGGCGGACGGGUGAGUAACACGUGGAUAACCUACCUAUAAGACUGGGAUAACUUCGGGAAACCGGAGCUAAUACCGGAUAAUAUUUUGAACCGCAUGGUUCAAAAGUAAAAGACGGUCUUGCUGUCACUUAUAGAUGGAUCCGCGCUGCAUUAGCUAGUUGGUAAGGUAACGGCUUACCAAGGCAACGAUGCAUAGCCGACCUGAGAGGGUGAUCGGCCACACUGGAACUGAGACACGGUCCAGACUCCUACGGGAGGCAGCAGUAGGGAAUCUUCCGCAAUGGGCGAAAGCCUGACGGAGCAACGCCGCGUGAGUGAUGAAGGUCUUCGGAUCGUAAAACUCUGUUAUUAGGGAAGAACAUAUGUGUAAGUAACUGUGCACAUCUUGACGGUACCUAAUCAGAAAGCCACGGCUAACUACAUGCCAGCAGCCGCGGUAAUACGUAGGUGGCAAGCGUUAUCCGGAAUUAUUGGGCGUAAAGCGCGCGUAGGCGGUUUUUUAAGUCUGAUGUGAAAGCCCACGGCUCAACCGUGGAGGGUCAUUGGAAACUGGAAAACUUGAGUGCAGAAGAGGAAAGUGGAAUUCCAUGUGUAGCGGUGAAAUGCGCAGAGAUAUGGAGGAACACCAGUGGCGAAGGCGACUUUCUGGUCUGUAACUGACGCUGAUGUGCGAAAGCGUGGGGAUCAAACAGGAUUAGAUACCCUGGUAGUCCACGCCGUAAACGAUGAGUGCUAAGUGUUAGGGGGUUUCCGCCCCUUAGUGCUGCAGCUAACGCAUUAAGCACUCCGCCUGGGGAGUACGACCGCAAGGUUGAAACUCAAAGGAAUUGACGGGGACCCGCACAAGCGGUGGAGCAUGUGGUUUAAUUCGAAGCAACGCGAAGAACCUUACCAAAUCUUGACAUCCUUUGACAACUCUAGAGAUAGAGCCUUCCCCUUCGGGGGACAAAGUGACAGGUGGUGCAUGGUUGUCGUCAGCUCGUGUCGUGAGAUGUUGGGUUAAGUCCCGCAACGAGCGCAACCCUUAAGCUUAGUUGCCAUCAUUAAGUUGGGCACUCUAAGUUGACUGCCGGUGACAAACCGGAGGAAGGUGGGGAUGACGUCAAAUCAUCAUGCCCCUUAUGAUUUGGGCUACACACGUGCUACAAUGGACAAUACAAAGGGCAGCGAAACCGCGAGGUCAAGCAAAUCCCAUAAAGUUGUUCUCAGUUCGGAUUGUAGUCUGCAACUCGACUACAUGAAGCUGGAAUCGCUAGUAAUCGUAGAUCAGCAUGCUACGGUGAAUACGUUCCCGGGUCU
Molecule: ribosomal RNA, 1372 nt
Filed under: uncultured bacterium
Lineage: Bacteria
Description: bacterial SSU rRNA
Rfam family: Bacterial small subunit ribosomal RNA
Source: RNAcentral